RNAcentral lists this ribosomal RNA (483 nucleotides) under uncultured bacterium. RNAcentral describes it as "partial 16S ribosomal RNA". It matches the Rfam family "Bacterial small subunit ribosomal RNA", at positions 30 to 506 of the family's 1533-position model. The record is from RNAcentral.
AUUGAACGCUGGCGGCAGGCCUAACACAUGCAAGUCGAGCGGAUGAAGGGAGCUUGCUCCUGGAUUCAGCGGCGGACGGGUGAGUAAUGCCUAGGAAUCUGCCUGGUAGUGGGGGAUAACGUCCGGAAACGGGCGCUAAUACCGCAUACGUCCUGAGGGAGAAAGUGGGGGAUCUUCGGACCUCACGCUAUCAGAUGAGCCUAGGUCGGAUUAGCUAGUUGGUGGGGUAAAGGCCUACCAAGGCGACGAUCCGUAACUGGUCUGAGAGGAUGAUCAGUCAACCUGGAAAUGGAAACGGGUCCAGGCUCCCAGGGGAGGCAGGAGGGGGGAAUAUUGGAAAAUGGGGGAAAGCCUGAUCCAGCCAUGCCGGGGGUGGGAAGAAGGUUUUCGGAUUGUAAAGCCAUUUAAGUUGGGGGGAAGGGAAGUAAGUUAAUACCUUGCUGUUUUGACGUUACCAACAGAAUAAGCACCGGCUAACUUCGU